CCUACGGGAGGCAGCAGUAGGGAAUCUUCCGCAAUGGACGAAAGUCUGACGGAGCAACGCCGCGUGAGCGAUGAAGGCCUUCGGGUCGUAAAGCUCUGUUGUCAGGGAAGAACAAGUAUCGGAGUAACUGCCCGUACCUUGACGGUACCUGGCCAGAAAGCCACGGCUAACUACGUGCCAGCAGCCGCGGUAAUACGUAGGUGGCAAGCGUUGUCCGGAAUUAUUGGGCGUAAAGCGCGCGCAGGCGGCCUUUUAAGUCUGAUGUGAAAGCCCCCGGCUCAACCGGGGAGGGUCAUUGGAAACUGGAAGGCUUGAGUGCAGAAGAGAAGAGCGGAAUUCCACGUGUAGCGGUGAAAUGCGUAGAGAUGUGGAGGAACACCAGUGGCGAAGGCGGCUCUUUGGUCUGUAACUGACGCUGAGGCGCGAAAGCGUGGGGAGCGAACAGGAUUAGAUACCCUGGUAGUCCACGCCGUAAACGAUGAGUGCUAAGUGUUGGGGGGUUUCCGCCCCUCANUGCUGCAGCUAACGCAUUAAGCACUCCGCCUGGGGAGUACNGCCCCNAGGCUGAAACUCAAAUGAAUUGACGGGG
RNAcentral lists this ribosomal RNA (589 nucleotides) under uncultured Bacillus sp. Its description in RNAcentral is "bacterial SSU rRNA". It matches the Rfam family "Bacterial small subunit ribosomal RNA", at positions 338 to 918 of the family's 1533-position model. The record is from RNAcentral. Lineage: Bacteria; Bacillati; Bacillota; Bacilli; Caryophanales; Bacillaceae.